Molecule: ribosomal RNA, 792 nt
Filed under: uncultured bacterium
Lineage: Bacteria
Description: bacterial SSU rRNA
Rfam family: Bacterial small subunit ribosomal RNA
Source: RNAcentral
GCGGACGGGUGAGUAGCACGUGGGAACGUGCCCUUUGGUUCGGAACAACUCAGGGAAACUUGAGCUAAUACCGGAUGUGCCCUUCGGGGGAAAGAUUUAUCGCCAUUGGAGCGGCCCGCGUCUGAUUAGCUAGUUGGUGAGGUAAAGGCUCACCAAGGCGACGAUCAGUAGCUGGUCUGAGAGGAUGAUCAGCCACAUUGGGACUGAGACACGGCCCAAACUCCUACGGGAGGCAGCAGUGGGGAAUCUUGCGCAAUGGGCGAAAGCCUGACGCAGCCAUGCCGCGUGAAUGAUGAAGGUCUUAGGAUUGUAAAAUUCUUUCACCGGGGACGAUAAUGACGGUACCCGGAGAAGAAGCCCCGGCUAACUUCGUGCCAGCAGCCGCGGUAAUACGAAGGGGGCUAGCGUUGCUCGGAAUUACUGGGCGUAAAGGGAGCGUAGGCGGACUGUUAAGUUAGAGGUGAAAGCCCAGGGCUCAACCUUGGAAUUGCCUUUGAUACUGGCAGUCUUGAGUACGGAAGAGGUAUGUGGAACUCCGAGUGUAGAGGUGAAAUUCGUAGAUAUUCGGAAGAACACCAGUGGCGAAGGCGACAUACUGGUCCGUUACUGACGCUGAGGCUCGAAAGCGUGGGGAGCAAACAGGAUUAGAUACCCUGGUAGUCCACGCCGUAAACGAUGAGUGCUAGUUGUCGGCAUGCAUGCAUGUCGGUGACGCAGCUAACGCAUUAAGCACUCCGCCUGGGGAGUACGGUCGCAAGAUUAAAACUCAAAGGAAUUGACGGGGGCCCGCAC